AGAAACCCUGUCUCGAAAAACCAAAAAAAAGAAAAGAAAUUGAACCCAGGGUCAUGCACAGGCUGGGAAAGUCCUUUAUCUCUAACGUGCCCCCACAACACCCCAUUCUGCUGACCCAACAGCCCAUCUGUUGAUAGACCUUGCACCAUUGUGAAUAAAGCUGACGAGAACACUGGUGCACGGGUUUCUGAGUGGACAGGGGUUUGUCUAUGGCUACCGGGUCCUGUGGGUCACAGCUACGGGUCAUUUUCAGACAGCAGCCAUGGUGGUGACUUGCAGUGACAGGGGAGCCACUGUGGCCAGCUACCAGCUCUAUAGAGACAAGGGCAGGACUGAGCUAUACCUUGGCUCCCAGGUCUCAAUUGGGCUUCCUCUCUCCUGUCCAGACUUGGAGGCAUCCAGCCCAUACCACCAGAUUCGCUGCUAAGGGCGGUCGCUAGGGAUGGUAACCCUAGCGGGAGGCCCAGCCAGGCACUCUAGAUAUUCCUGCUGCAGGCAUGCUGUUCAGAGUGCCUUAGGCCAAGUGCCGAGGCAGGAGGCACAGUCUUGGGUCGUGUCCUGGGUUCAUGGUAGCAUGCUUUCGGGGUGGCACCCAGGACGGCACUAGAUUCAGAGUCAUCCCCUUCCUUGCGCUGAGACUCCUCCUGUGCUGGCCGUCUGGGUCCAGGGCACACACUCCCAGCCUCCGCGGUGAACUCGGAGCAGGCAGAGUCUGAGCACACGGUACCUGCUGCAUGAAACGCAGUCCACACUGGCCCUGGUGUGCCUUCUCCUGCCUGUAAUUUUAUCACACGCGGUUUAGGGUCUGCAGAAGGUGCGGCAGGGUGCUGCUUUCAGCCCGGAGAUGGACUGGUUGUAAGUGUUCUGUCUUACGCGUUGUUCCCUCGAGCUCCUGCUAACUGGCAGCAUUCCUGCAAACAACAGGCCUCUUCUUGGCUUGGCAGCAUCCUCCUCGCAUAUUGUGCGUUUUCCUCUGAAAUGUUUAACGUGCUAAAGUCUCGCUUCAAUCACAUCAGCUCUAGAGCAGACUAAUCACUUAGCCUGAUUGUUGAGCUGCAUUUGGUUCUGGAAUUUUAAAACACGGAAGAAAACAACCCUACCAAGCUACAUACCCACAGCCCGCUGUGCAGCUGAUCCUUCACAGGAAAAUGUAGUGCCCUCUCUGGGGCUUUGUGGUUGGGUUAGUGUUUAUUGGGAGUGAAAAUUGUUUUACCCACCAGCACAGUGCCUAGAAUGUUGGACAGAUGUUAAUUGUGUUACCGAUGCCAAAAUUGGAAACACCUUGCCCCUUCCCAGAGUUGAGCUUUUUGGUUUAAUUACUGUAACUGUGAUGGCUGAAACCGAAGCGCGUGUGCAUUCGGAACGGGAAACACUGAUGUUAGAAAGUAAUUUCAGAUCUGCUUAGCUGGGGAUGGAGACAGCAGGUGUGUCGAAGAGCAGGGCUGCUGGCUGAUUCUGGCACGUGUGUGGGGGAGGGGGUAGUGUGACGCUGCCUUCCAUGCGUGCCCACGGGUGUUCAUUAUGCUGUGUUUAUAGCUGGCGAUGAUUUCCCAUCUGCAGUGACUCCAUGAUUCCCAGCCCUAUUCCUUAAAUGCAGAGGCAAACAGCAGUCUGUUCCGGCAGACACAUGCUGCAGGUCGGUUGGUGGUGGACUUGCUGGCCUGGCCCAGGGCCUCUUUUCCAGACCCCUGCAUUGCUCCAAGGUGGUAUGUGUGGGUGAGUGGGGGCUGCUUUGGCAGCCAAGGGAUCUUUUUUAUUUUACAAUUAAUGGAUACAAACAAGGUAAUAGACUUAGUAUUUUAGAGUCGUCUUUGAUUUAUACAAAGUUAACUAAUAGUUAGAGAGCCCCACGUACUUUUCAUGGUUCCCCUCUCCUUCACUUCUAGCAGUGGGGUGAUUUGUCUGGCAGAGCUGGUAUGGACACUGUUAUCAACAGCCAUCUGCUCACCACAUGAGAGUGGACUCCUCUUGGAGCUGCACAUUCUAUGGGUUUGGGCAUAGUCACACUGUCACAUCGUCCAUUGCAGCAUCAUAUACAAGCCUCUGUCCACAGAUUCUGCAAUCCACUGUUUCAAGUGAACAAACAUGCAAGACCACGAAGAGCUCCAACUCCAGUGGCACAGUUGCUAAAACAUCACAGUGCAGGUGUGGGGAAUAGCGGUGUGUUUACUCCAAGGCUCACUGGAUGUCCAAGGCCCAUAUUCCUCAGACCAUCCCCGUGGCUUUGAGCCUGGAGUGAGAGUGGGCAGCACUUGAAAUACUCAAGACAACGAUAAAGUGAGGUGACUGCACGUUAUCUACUGGAAACAAAGUCCCAAGGCUGCUAAUAUUCUCAAGAGAAGGAAAUGACUAUUUGAGUCAGAAAUCAGUGAACAUAAAAUGUUAGUUUUCCUUGUCCAAGUUCCUAGUCCCCAUGGAUUAAGUCUCUACUCUAUAGACAUAUGGAAAUAUUGUGAAUCAGAAGAAAUAAGAUGCUAACAGGGAUUUUUAAAAAUGUGUUUUCAAAAUCAAACGUGCUGUUUUUGAAACUCCACCUUCAUUAGCACCAGGUGGGCUUUGACUGCUGUCUGCACGGUGGAUCAGUGAAUUCACUGAGCUGCCCUGAGAAAAAGCAGACUGAUUAGGAGAAGCUGAUUAAGCUCUGCGGAAGGAGGUGUGAUUAAUGCCUACUCACACAGCAAACAGGAUGGUUACAUUUCACUGUCUUCCCGUGACUCCAAGUCAGUGGCUAAUAGCUCCAAGAUGGAAAGGGAGAAAUCCAUUCCAGGGACCCCAGGCAUCCAACAAGCAUCAAGGGUCACUGGUCGCUGCCUGCUGGAGGCCUAAGAAGUUGGUUGCAGGUGCUCCACCAUCACCACCAUCAUCAUUAUCUUCAACUUUACCACUAUCACCAGAACCAUUGUCUUAUCACCAUUAUCACCAUCAAUACCUCCUUCACCAUCACAUCACCAUCACCUCUAACAUCAUCUUCAUUAACACUUUCAACUCCAUCACCGUCAUCAUAACCAUCAUCUUCACCACCAUCAUCUUCAACCUAGCCACUGUCACAACCAUCUUCGUGUCUUCAUCAUCACCACCAUCGUGACCAUGACCUUUAUCAUGGUCAUAGUCACUGUCAUUACUGGUGGCAAGCCAGGUCUGAGACUUCCUGGCUGCAGCCUCAUGGGCCCAGAGCCAAGCUUGCUCCUAGCCAGCAAUGCACCACUCCUGCCCUGGAGCCUUCAGGGCUCCUAGGCAUUGGAACAUCUACUCAACCAGCUGACAUCCUGCGGUUGCUGAACACGGCCUGGGCAGGAGACUCCACCAGAACUCAAAAGCAAGGAUCCAGGAAGCCUCUCAUUUAGUGUGGAUUAUGACAGACAGCAAGGGCCCCAGGGAUUCGGAUCCCAAGGAACACCCCACAGGACUGUCUCCUAUAUGAGUCUGGAUCCUGACAAGUUGACGACAUGAACUGUCACGGCAGUGAUUGCGGCCAUGAAGCACCCACCCUGUUCUCCAAAGUGCAGGCCCAAGCUGGUCCUCAGCAGUGCCAGCCCUUCCUGAAUGCUCCUUGUGUUGUUGCUCUGUUCUCACUUAAAACUUGUUCUUUAUAAGCUAUGAAGAAGCAUAAGGAUGGAGCUGAAGAGAUGGUUCAGUACUUAACAGUACUUCCUGCUCUUCCAGAAGACGUAGGCUCAGCUCCCAGGCCCCAUGUUGAGGUGCUAACAACCGUCUGUAACUCAAGCUCCAGAGAUCCAAUGCCGACUUCUGGACUCCUUGGCACCUGCACACACCGAGAACAUAUUCUUACUGUAAAUAAAAAUAAAUCCUUAAAAAAGAGAAAACAUAAGGAAACAUUCUUAAAAGAAAAUUAAAAUU
Long non-coding RNA from Peromyscus leucopus (white-footed mouse), 3858 nucleotides. RefSeq lists it as uncharacterized. Lineage: Eukaryota; Metazoa; Chordata; Mammalia; Rodentia; Cricetidae. The transcript has 4 exons. The record is from RefSeq and is a predicted model, not a curated record.